Molecule: ribosomal RNA, 441 nt
Filed under: Drosophila funebris
Lineage: Eukaryota; Metazoa; Arthropoda; Insecta; Diptera; Drosophilidae
Description: partial 12S ribosomal RNA
Source: RNAcentral
UAUUAUUAAAAAUGUAAAUAUAAAUACUAAAGUAGUAAUAGUUAUGUUCUUGAAACUUAAAAAAUUUGGCGGUAUUUUAGUCUAUCCAGAGGAACCUGUUUUUUAAUCGAUAAUCCACGAUGGACCUUACUUAAGUUUGUAAUCAGUUUAUAUACCGUCGUUAUCAGAAUAUUUUAUAAGAAAAAUAAUAUUCAAUAGUUUUUAUAAAAAAUUAUAUCAGAUCAAGGUGUAGCUUAUAUUUAAGUAAUAAUGGGUUACAAUAAAUUUAUUUAUACGGAUAAAAUAAUGAAAAAGUUUUUGAAGGUGGAUUUGGUAGUAAAAUUAUAAAGAUUAAUAAUUUGAUUUUAGCUCUAAAAUAUGUACACAUCGCCCGUCGCUCUUAUUAUUAAGGUAAGAUAAGUCGUAACAUAGUAGAUGUACUGGAAAGUGUAUCUAGAAUGA